AAGCACAUCAUACAGGAAACUGUUUCACUGACUGGUACAAGAGAUGACUAAUAGAGAGAGAGAGAGGGUGAGGGAGACAGCGAGAGAGAGUGAGAUGUAGUGAUGCAUAGUAAAGGAGUGAUGGACAUUUCAGAAGCUAGACCGAGAAAUAGUUGUUCCAUUUCUGCAGAGAACGUGUGUGAAUAAAUACGCAACGUUCAGUUCAACACAUUUUGAACAUGUCCGUGUCUGAAGUGUACAUUUCUGUGUUCUACGAUGGCAACACCUGCUCCUGUCCCCGAGCUGCUACCGGCUACUCUGAAGGAGCUAGUUGGACAUUUCACUGGUACCUGACUCAGAACGUACCAGAUGGCUUUUCUCUCAUCCCCAAGGCCAUCUGGAGAACGCUGACGGCAGGACACCGUGGAUACGAUGGUGAACUCCUACGGCCAUGAUGGAGCUAUGAAGAUCUCACUGGAAAUCUUGAGAAAGAUUCAUCAGAAUGAUCUCACCAAGAAGUUAAUGGCAGAUCACCAAGCUCUCUCAGUAAAGGCUGAAGUUGACGGAGCAGCUGCCUCAAUUCCGGUUCCUGCCUCUCCUGUCUACCUCAUUUGUACAUCUCAGACUGGCGGCCAUGUUGUGGCCCCUUCGCUCUCCAGCUGCCAUAUUGAUGGUCCCGUUCAAUUCAACAUCAGAGUCAACUCCAUAGACGACGAGCCCAUCGUUCCAUCUAAAGCAUCACCUGCCCAUCUCACCAUGUUUGAACCUGUUCCUGUAAAUACUGAAGACAACAGUAAGACAGAUAGAAGGGGUGUAUGGCAGUCUUACUGUAGAUCUGUAUAGAGAAGGUUGUUUGGCAGUGGUAAGAAUAGGGAAACGCUUUGGAACUGAAGUUGUUUUUGGUAUGAAGAACCACAAGAUUGCAACGUUGUCCAGUAACCUGUAUUUAGAGAGAGCAAGAUCAAACAAUCCUAAACCUGCAUUGUUAUACUGCAGUCUCUAAAGAGUUUCAGUUUGAAUGGAAUAUUUACAGGAAAAUCCACAGAACCAUCUAUUUUACAUACACAGAGGCCUUUGUAUACUGUGUUUGUCACUUGUUUAUUUGACCAGAUGAGCGAAUCGAGAGGUGACAACUUUUUUUAUUUUGUAUUUUGUAUUUAAAUAAAUA
Molecule: long non-coding RNA, 1147 nt
Organism: Coregonus clupeaformis (lake whitefish)
Lineage: Eukaryota; Metazoa; Chordata; Actinopteri; Salmoniformes; Salmonidae
Exons: 3
Source: RefSeq, a predicted model, not a curated record